Molecule: long non-coding RNA, 802 nt
Organism: Coregonus clupeaformis (lake whitefish)
Lineage: Eukaryota; Metazoa; Chordata; Actinopteri; Salmoniformes; Salmonidae
Exons: 4
Source: RefSeq, a predicted model, not a curated record
CCUGCAGACACUCGGCCCUUAAUAGAAUAGGUUUGACACAUGUGCCCUAUAUAGUGCACUUCUGGUCAAAAGUAGGGCACUAUAGAGGGCAUAGGGUGCCAUUUGGCAUGAAGCCCUAAAGGGAUUAUAUUUUCACUUCUCUUUCUCAGAGUUGGAAAUCAAGAUUGACUUUAUAACUUCCACUUCCACUGUACUGAUUGACAUACAGAAGUACACCUUCUCACUUUAAUAUAAUUAAAAAGUCCAGAGUGUGUAACAGGUCUCCUUCUAUCCAUUGCUUCCAGCCACGAUUGGCCUUCUCUCCCGUCUGCACAGCCACCAACUUGUCUCCAUCCCAGAUAUGCACGCACACGGACCACACAAGUGGAUACAACACCGCCAGAAUGUCUUUCUCCAACCAUCCACCAUUCCCUGCAUCAAGGCCAUCUGUGUAUGUAUGGUGGGUGGGCCAGUUUUUAUCAUUGCAGUGUGAUACAAAAAGAGGUAUCGGUGUGCUUUAGGACCAUGCGGACGCCUCAGAUUGGUCGUGUAGGCUGUUUGGCAGUUUCAGCUGGCUGGAUUUAGGACCGCUUCUGCAGAGCAUGGGGACAGGCUGUGUGAAGGCAAAGCUUCUGAAAGGCUGGCGUAUUGGACCAGCACGGGAGAGAUGAACAGAGGCAGCUGCUGUCUGUGUGUGUUGCACUUUUUCUCUGAGUUGUAAAGCAAGCAGAGCAGAAACUGGCUACUACUAACUGGCUUCACUGAUGCAAGGUAACUGCUGUUUGACUUAGCUAACAUUAAAAAAUAAAGCAUCUAAUGUUAA